UCGGGAAUUUUGGGCAAUGGGCGAAAGCCUGACCCAGCAACGCCGCGUGAGGGAUGAAGUAUUUCGGUAUGUAAACCUCGAAAGAAUGGGAAGAAUAAAUGACGGUACCAUUUAUAAGCUCCGGCUAACUACGUGCCAGCAGCCGCGGUAAUACGUAGGGAGCAAGCGUUGUUCGGAUUUACUGGGCGUAAAGGGCGCGUAGGCGGCGCGGUAAGUCACUUGUGAAAUCUCUGAGCUUAACUCAGAACGGCCAAGUGAUACUGCUGUGCUAGAGUGCGGAAGAGGCAACCGGAAUUCUUGGUGUAGCGGUGAAAUAAGUAGAUAUCAAGAGGAACACCUGAGGCGAAGGCGGGUUGCUGGGCCGACACUGACGCUGAUGCGCGAAAGCCAGGGGAGCAAACG
RNAcentral lists this ribosomal RNA (402 nucleotides) under uncultured bacterium. RNAcentral describes it as "bacterial SSU rRNA". It matches the Rfam family "Bacterial small subunit ribosomal RNA", at positions 355 to 774 of the family's 1533-position model. The record is from RNAcentral.